UACGUAGGGACCGAGCGUUGUCCGGAAUCAUUGGGCGUAAAGAGCGUGUAGGCGGCUAUUUAAGUCCUGCGUGAAAUCCUGCGGCUCAACCGCAGACGGUCGUGGGAAACUGGAUGGCUAGAGUGCGGGAGAGGAGAGUGGAAUUCCCGGUGUAGCGGUGAAAUGCGUAGAUAUCCGGAGGAACACCGGUGGCGAAGGCGGCUUCCUGGACCGACACUGACGCUGAGGCGCGAAAGCCAGGGGAGCAAACGGG
RNAcentral lists this ribosomal RNA (253 nucleotides) under uncultured bacterium. RNAcentral describes it as "partial 16S ribosomal RNA". It matches the Rfam family "Bacterial small subunit ribosomal RNA", at positions 524 to 776 of the family's 1533-position model. The record is from RNAcentral.